This 1346-nucleotide ribosomal RNA is filed under the name uncultured bacterium. RNAcentral describes it as "bacterial SSU rRNA". It matches the Rfam family "Bacterial small subunit ribosomal RNA", at positions 28 to 1381 of the family's 1533-position model. The record is from RNAcentral.
GACGAACGCUGGCGGCGUGCUUAACACAUGCAAGUCGAACGGAAAGGCCCUGCUUUUGUGGGGUGCUCGAGUGGCGAACGGGUGAGUAACACGUGAGUAACCUGCCCUUGACUUUGGGAUAACUUCAGGAAACUGGGGCUAAUACCGGAUAGGAGCUCCUGCUGCAUGGUGGGGGUUGGAAAGUUUCGGCGGUUGGGGAUGGACUCGCGGCUUAUCAGCUUGUUGGUGGGGUAGUGGCUUACCAAGGCUUUGACGGGUAGCCGGCCUGAGAGGGUGACCGGCCACAUUGGGACUGAGAUACGGCCCAGACUCCUACGGGAGGCAGCAGUGGGGAAUAUUGCACAAUGGGCGGAAGCCUGAUGCAGCAACGCCGCGUGCGGGAUGACGGCCUUCGGGUUGUAAACCGCUUUCGCCUGUGACGAAGCGUGAGUGACGGUAAUGGGUAAAGAAGCACCGGCUAACUACGUGCCAGCAGCCGCGGUGAUACGUAGGGUGCGAGCGUUGUCCGGAUUUAUUGGGCGUAAAGGGCUCGUGGGUGGUUGAUCGCGUCGGAAGUGUAAUCUUGGGGCUUAACCCUGAGCGUGCUUUCGAUACGGGUUGACUUGAGGAAGGUAGGGGAGAAUGGAAUUCCCGGUGGAGCGGUGGAAUGCGCAGAUAUCAGGAGGAACACCAGUGGCGAAGGCGGUUCUCUGGGCCUUUCCUGACGCUGAGGAGCGAAAGCGUGGGGAGCGAACAGGCUUAGAUACCCUGGUAGUCCACGCUGUAAACGGUGGGUACUAGGUGUGGGGUCCAUUCCACGGGUUCCGUGCCGUAGCUAACGCUUUAAGUACCCCGCCUGGGGAGUACGGCCGCAAGGCUAAAACUCAAAGGAAUUGACGGGGCCCCGCACAAGCGGCGGAGCAUGCGGAUUAAUUCGAUGCAACGCGUAGAACCUUACCUGGGUUUGACAUGGAUCGGGAGCGCUCAGAGAUGGGUGUGCCUCUUUUGGGGUCGGUUCACAGGUGGUGCAUGGCUGUCGUCAGCUCGUGUCGUGAGAUGUUGGGUUAAGUCCCGCAACGAGCGCAACCCUUGUUCACUGUUGCCAGCACGUUAUGGUGGGGACUCAGUGGAGACCGCCGGGGUCAACUCGGAGGAAGGUGGGGAUGACGUCAAGUCAUCAUGCCCCUUAUGUCCAGGGCUUCACGCAUGCUACAAUGGCUGGUACAGAGAGUGGCGAGCCUGUGAGGGUGAGCGAAUCUCGGAAAGCCGGUCUCAGUUCGGAUUGGGGUCUGCAACUCGACCUCAUGAAGUCGGAGUCGCUAGUAAUCGCAGAUCAGCAACGCUGCGGUGAAUACGUUCCCGGGGCU